This 403-nucleotide ribosomal RNA is filed under the name uncultured bacterium. Its description in RNAcentral is "partial 16S ribosomal RNA". It matches the Rfam family "Bacterial small subunit ribosomal RNA", at positions 29 to 526 of the family's 1533-position model. The record is from RNAcentral.
AUUGAACGCUGGCGGCAGGCCUAACACAUGCAAGUCGAGCGAGCGGCGGACGGUUGAGUAAUGUAUGGGGACUGCCCGAUAGAGGGGGAUAACUACUGGAAACGGUAGCUAAUACCGCAUACUAUCGGAUAACCCAUAUGGGAUUAGCUAGUGGGUGAGGUAAUGGCUCACCUAGGCGACGAUCCCUAGCUGGUCUGAGAGGAUGAUCAGCCACACUGGGACUGAGACACGGCCCAGACGCCGACGGAGGCAGCAGUGGGGAAUAUUGCGCAAUGGGCGCAAGCCUGACGCAGCCACGCCGCGUGAGUGAAGAAGGCCCUAGGGUUGUAAAGCACUGUCAGUCGGGAGGCGGUAUCGAAAGAAGAAGCAACGGCUAACUACGUGCCAGCCGCCGCGGUAAUAC